Long non-coding RNA from Neopsephotus bourkii (Bourke's parrot), 1103 nucleotides. RefSeq lists it as uncharacterized. NCBI's taxonomy places the organism in Eukaryota, Metazoa, Chordata, Aves, Psittaciformes, Psittacidae. The record is from RefSeq and is a predicted model, not a curated record. The transcript has 3 exons.
AAGAUAUUUUCAAUCAUUCACAGCAAUUAUUUAGGAAGUAAUUUCAAACAACAUGGGAGGACUUACCACCUAAUGGCAGAUGACUGGUGAGCAGAGAAAGAGACCAAGGUCUUGAGCAAAGCAGUUCUCUGCAGAUGGCUGGGCUCAGUAAGAGGAUAAAAAAUGAACCUGACCAUUAAGAGAAAGUGAAGCUGACUAGCUGAGUUUCAGUGGUCCUGCUGAAGGCAGUACAAUGAAACAACCAGCACUAGGUGGGAAAAGGUCAAAAAGCAGACUGUGUGACAAGAGAGAAAUUGGAGAAGGCUGAGAUAAUGCCCAAUUAGAUCAUGCAGUUCACCUCCCUGGGGCGAAUGACAGACUGGGUAGUGCAGUUCCAGCAAAGGUGGAACUCCUCCCUGGAUCCAGGCACACAUCAUUGACAAAAGACUUCAGGCCUAAUCAUGACAUUCUGAGGUAAGCAAGGCCUCCAGGAUUUGGCUUAGUGUAGGAAACUCUUUAAAAGAUGCAGUUAUUUGUAAAAAGUCAUCAUUAAAGCCAGCCUCCUGAUAUGCUGCCACUGGAUACACGCUCCUUUACCUAAAAGGUUUCCUACCCCUCUUAUAUCCUAGCUUCUUCAGUGAAACAGCCAACAAUAUAAAAAUCAAACCCAACAAUAAAACAUCCUCAAGCCCAAGCAUAGUAAUUCAAUUUAAUACUAACGACUUUACCAGCACUCCUGUAAUGGCUAUGGAUUUUGUCUAUCUAUUGGAAAAUGUCUCUGAGGUGAAGAGCCCAUAGUCUGUCUUCCAGAGGAGAAGGUGUCAUUGGUCAGAUUUGUUUUGAAGACAUGAUAUAAUGUAGGACUGGAAGGUCUCCUGGGCUUUCCUAAUGCAAUCUAUUUGUGUGCAGUUUGGGUUGUGAUAGGGAAAGUGGGUAUAGCCGUGCAUUGUGGAGCCUGUGAAUUGCUGAGAAGCAUAGUUCUAAUGCCUUGCUUUCCCCUUUGGGUCAGCAUUGGUCCAGUGCUUUCAUUUGCUGCAAGUGCUUCUCUAACCUUGGCACAAUCAGCAUGGUGAUUUUGUGUGUCUGGGUCUCUCCACUGCUCACUGUUAGAGGUUAUGCCCCAG